CGAUACCACUUGUUGAAGAACCGGGAUGACCCAACCUCCACUUUUGAGCAAAUUAGGAUAUCUCAAAUCCCACUUUCAGCGAUCAAAUGAAAUGCCAAGAAUGCAAUAACAAGUGCCAUAUAAAUGAAAAAUAUAAGAACAAUAAAACCAGUAAUAUGGAAAAUCAUCAAAACACAACACAAAUAAGAGUAGAAAGGGGCACGCACAUAUACGUGGUUCACUCAAGAUGGGCUACGUCCACGGGCAAGACGGCAAACGUGUAUUCACUAUCAAGGAAAAAAAUUACAAGAUUUGGGUUAUACGGAGUUACCUCAUACAAUAUAAAAAAAUGCUCAAACAAAGAACUUCCUACCAUAAAACAACCGACAGUCGAUUCCUUUUUUUGAUUCACUAUAAUCGCGAAGAAAUACUGACAAAAAUGGCCCAAGAUGAGCUCAAAUAGUGGUGUUAGGGUUGCACAUUAAAACCCCCAAAUUUUCUCUCUAUUUUUUACCCCAAAACUUCUCAAACUUCUUUCUCAUGUUUUCUUUCCUUUUAUACCCCUUUUAUAAUAUCACAUCCGCAAGUGCCUUUCUCUCGCUCACGCCCGCACGCGCCUCUUCUCUCGCUCGUGCCCGCAUGCGCCUCUUCUCUCGAUCAUGCCUGUGUGCGCCUUUUCUCUUGCGUGCG
RNAcentral lists this long non-coding RNA (669 nucleotides) under Amborella trichopoda. RNAcentral describes it as "long non-coding RNA (ATRI_LNC004845)". The record is from RNAcentral. Lineage: Eukaryota; Viridiplantae; Streptophyta; Magnoliopsida; Amborellales; Amborellaceae.